RNAcentral lists this ribosomal RNA (459 nucleotides) under uncultured bacterium. Its description in RNAcentral is "partial 16S ribosomal RNA". It matches the Rfam family "Bacterial small subunit ribosomal RNA", at positions 338 to 795 of the family's 1533-position model. The record is from RNAcentral.
CCUACGUGCGGCAGCAGUGAGGAAUAUUGGUCAAUGGCCGGAAGGCUGAACCAGCCAAGCCGCGUGAAGGACGAAGGUGCCAAGCAUUGUAAACUUCUUUUGUCAAGGGACAAAAUCAGGCUCGAGAGCCUGACCGAGGGUACUUGAAGAAACAGCAUCGGCUAACUCCGUGCCAGCAGCCGCGGUAAUACGGAGGUUUCGAGCGUUAUCCGGGUUUAUUGGGUUUAAAGGGUGCGUAGGCGGACUGUUAAGUCAGCGGUAAAAGGCCGGGGCUCAACCCCGGCGAGCCGUUGAAACUGGCUGUCGUGAGAAGUCGAGAGGUAUGCGGAAUGCGCAGUGUAGCGGUGAAAUGCUUAGAGAUUGCGCAGAACUCCGAUUGCGAAGGCAGCAUACCGGCGGCGAUCUGACGCUGAGGCACGAAAGCGUGGGUAUCGAACAGGAUUAGAGACCCCAGUAGUC